This 784-nucleotide ribosomal RNA is filed under the name uncultured bacterium. RNAcentral describes it as "bacterial SSU rRNA". It matches the Rfam family "Bacterial small subunit ribosomal RNA", at positions 59 to 856 of the family's 1533-position model. The record is from RNAcentral.
CAGUCGAACGGAUGCAAGGGGCUUGCUCCUUGCAUUAGUGGCGGACGGGUGAGUAACGCGUGAGCAAUCUGCCCAUAUCAGGGGGAUAACAGUUAGAAAUGACUGCUAAUACCGCAUAUGACCACGAAAAGGCAUCUUUUUGAGGUGAAAGAUUUAUCGGAUAUGGAUGAGCUCGCGUCCCAUUAGGCAGUUGGUGAGGUAACGGCCCACCAAACCUACGAUGGGUAGCCGACCUUAGAGGGUGAUCGGCCACAUUGGGACUGAGACACGGCCCAGACUCCUGCGGGAGGCAGCAGUGGGGAAUAUUGGGCAAUGGAGGCAACUCUGACCCAGCAACGCCGCGUGAGCGAUGAAGGUCUUCGGAUUGUAAAGCUCUUUAAGCGGGGACGAAGAAAGUGACUGUACCCGCAGAGUAAGCCUCGGCUAACUACGUGCCAGCAGCCGCGGUAAUACGUAGGAGGCAAGCGUUAUCCGGAAUGACUGGGCGUAAAGGGUGCGUAGGUGGUUUGGCAAGUUGGUAGCGUAAUCCCGGGGCUCAACCUCGGUGCUACUACCAAAACUGUUGAACUUGAGUGCAGGAGGGGUGAAUGGAAUUCCCAGUGUAGCGGUGGAAUGCGUAGAUAUUGGGAAGAACACCAGCGGCGAAGGCGAUUCACUGGACUGUAACUGACGCUGAAGCACGAAAGCGUGGGUAUCGAACAGGAUUAGAUACCCUGGUAGUCCACGCAGUAAACGAUGAAUGCUAAUUGUCCGGAGGGAUUGACCUCUGGGUGAUACAGCGAAA